Oryctolagus cuniculus (rabbit) is the source of this 115-nucleotide small nuclear RNA. Its record names the gene U2. It matches the Rfam family "U2 spliceosomal RNA". Rfam says of the family: U2 is a small nuclear RNA (snRNA) component of the spliceosome (involved in pre-mRNA splicing). Complementary binding between U2 snRNA (in an area lying towards the 5' end but 3' to hairpin I) and the branchpoint sequence (BPS) of the intron results the bulging out of an unpaired adenosine, on the BPS, which initiates a nucleophilic attack at the intronic 5' splice site, thus starting the first of two transesterification reactions that mediate splicing. Lineage: Eukaryota; Metazoa; Chordata; Mammalia; Lagomorpha; Leporidae. The record is from Ensembl.
AUCGCUUCUGAUCCUUUUGGCUAAGAUCAAGUGUAAUAUCUGUUCUUAUCAGUAAUUACUUAUAAUUACUUAUAAGGAACUGGAGUAGCUCUAACAAUUUUGGAAAGGAAUAAUA